UACGGAGGAUGCGAGCGUUAUCCGGAUUUAUUGGGUUUAAAGGGUGCGUAGGCGGAAUGCCAAGUCAGCGGUAAAAUCGCGGGGCUCAACCUCGCUCCGCCGUUGAAACUGGCGUUCUUGAGUGGGCGAGAAGUAUGCGGAAUGCGUGGUGUAGCGGUGAAAUGCAUAGAUAUCACGCAGAACUCCGAUUGCGAAGGCAGCAUACCGGCGCCCAACUGACGCUGAAGCACGAAAGCGUGGGUAUCGAACAG
RNAcentral lists this ribosomal RNA (251 nucleotides) under uncultured bacterium. Its description in RNAcentral is "partial 16S ribosomal RNA". It matches the Rfam family "Bacterial small subunit ribosomal RNA", at positions 524 to 775 of the family's 1533-position model. The record is from RNAcentral.